Molecule: transfer RNA, 83 nt
Filed under: bacterium
Lineage: Bacteria
Description: tRNA-Leu
Rfam family: tRNA
About the family: Transfer RNA (tRNA) molecules are approximately 80 nucleotides in length. Their secondary structure includes four short double-helical elements and three loops (D, anti-codon, and T loops).
Source: RNAcentral
GCCGGGGUGGCGGAAUGGUAGACGCAGCGGGCUUAAAACCCGCCGCCCGAAAGGGCGUGAGGGUUCGAAUCCCUCCCUCGGCA